ACUCGAGGGGUGGAAAGCUGUAACGCUAAUGGUAUGAAGAACGCAUAAGCGUAUAGCUUUUCCCCUUCGGUU
Molecule: microRNA precursor, 72 nt
Filed under: Dendroctonus ponderosae (mountain pine beetle)
Lineage: Eukaryota; Metazoa; Arthropoda; Insecta; Coleoptera; Curculionidae
Description: mir-965 microRNA precursor family
Rfam family: mir-965 microRNA precursor family
Source: Rfam by way of RNAcentral